UGUUCUAUUUAUUUUUGUGUUUGCUUGAGUUUUCUUUGCAAUCUUGUUUCCUAUCAGGGAUAGUUCAACCAGUCAGUGAAGGAUCUGGAACGAGAAUCACAAUAUGGCCUCAGGUCCCUUUGGAUCGUGCGGACGACAUCUUUGCCUUUAGGCUUGAUUCUCCCUCACUCGUGGUUGCAGCGAUACGAUUCUGACUUUUGUCUCUAAUGUGGUUCCUUUUUUGUUUCGCCAAAGUGAUUUUGCUGCCUCAUUUUGACUGUACUUGGGAAGCUCCUUGUUCUCCCCUUUCUCCUGUGAUCUACAUGUUGUGCGGAUGGUGUU
RNAcentral lists this long non-coding RNA (321 nucleotides) under Gossypium barbadense (sea-island cotton). Its description in RNAcentral is "long non-coding RNA (GBAR_LNC015805)". Lineage: Eukaryota; Viridiplantae; Streptophyta; Magnoliopsida; Malvales; Malvaceae. The record is from RNAcentral.